GACGAACGCUGGCGGCGUGCUUAACACAUGCAAGUCGAACGGAAAGGCCCUGCUUUUGUGGGGUGCUCGAGUGGCGAACGGGUGAGUAACACGUGAGUAACCUGCCCUUUACUUUGGGAUAACUUCAGGAAACUGUGGCUAAUACCGGAUAGGAGCUCCUGCUGCAUGGUGGGGGUUGGAAAGUUUCGGCGGUUGGGGAUGGACUCGCGGCUUAUCAGCUUGUUGGUGGGGUAGUGGCUUACCAAGGCUUUGACGGGUAGCCGGCCUGAGAGGGUGACCGGCCACAUUGGGACUGAGAUACGGCCCAGACUCCUACGGGAGGCAGCAGUGGGGAAUAUUGAACAAUGGGCGGAAGCCUGAUGCAGAAACGCCGCGUGCGGGAUGACGGCCUUCGGGUUGUAAACCGCUUUAGCAUGUGACGAAGCGUGAGUGACGGUAAUGGGUAAAGAAGCACCGGCUAACUACGUG
RNAcentral lists this ribosomal RNA (468 nucleotides) under uncultured bacterium. Its description in RNAcentral is "partial 16S ribosomal RNA". It matches the Rfam family "Bacterial small subunit ribosomal RNA", at positions 28 to 507 of the family's 1533-position model. The record is from RNAcentral.